CAAAUAUCUCCGAGCUCUUAAACCUAAAAAGCUGUGAAAUACAGGAGCCUCUCUGACUGCGUGUCAUUUUUCCGGCUUCAUGGUUUAUCAGCCGCGGGCAAUACGUCCGCCGGGGUAUGGAUCGGAAACGGUCAUGCCUUCCUUUUUGAAAAGGAGUAUCAUCC
RNAcentral lists this non-coding RNA (164 nucleotides) under bovine gut metagenome. RNAcentral describes it as "Moco (molybdenum cofactor) riboswitch". It matches the Rfam family "Molybdenum/Tungsten riboswitch aptamer (Moco RNA motif)", at positions 7 to 125 of the family's 135-position model. The record is from RNAcentral.